CAGAGGUCCCAAGCGUUGUUCGGAUUCACUGGGCGUAAAGGGUGCGUAGGUGGCGAGGUAAGUCGGAUGUGAAAUCUCCAAGCUCAACUUGGAAAUGGCAUUGGAAACUACCUUGCUAGAGGUUUGGAGGGGGGACUGGAAUUCUCGGUGUAGCAGUGAAAUGCGUAGAUAUCGAGAGGAACACCAGUGGCGAAGGCGAGUCCCUGGACAACACCUGACACUGAGGCACGAAAGCUAGGGGAGCAAACAGGAUUAGAUACCCUGGUAGUCCUAGCUGUAAACGGUGCUUGCUUGCUGUAAAAGGAAUCGACCCCUUUUGUGGCGAAGCCAACGCGAUAAGCAAGCCGCCUGGGAAGUACGGUCGCAAGAUUA
This 372-nucleotide ribosomal RNA is filed under the name uncultured organism. RNAcentral describes it as "bacterial SSU rRNA". It matches the Rfam family "Bacterial small subunit ribosomal RNA", at positions 526 to 896 of the family's 1533-position model. The record is from RNAcentral.